UGUGGAGAUGCAGGGCAUGAGGACUUACUUGCUAUAUGAUGUAGAUGUCUUGAUGGUGCUGACCACACCAAUUGCAUUAAAGUAAUGAUAAAUAAAGUUCUCGAAUGUGAUUGGGUAUGUGAAGAAUGCGAAAAAAAGGAAACUAAAAUCACAAACCGACAAGAAUAACACAGGGACUUCAACUGAAAAGACCAUUCUUCACAUUCAAAAGUUGCGAAAGCACGUGGAAAAAGACUUGCAAACGAAUUAGAGUCGUCUUUUAAAAAACGGUUGUGGUGCUAUUACCCGACGGCAAGGAAUAUUGAUGACGUGGAUGAGAUAAAUGAGCAAACUGAAAACAUGAAACUGGUUCAGUACGCACUCACAACACCCAUUGGUGCAUCUGCUGAUUUUGAUGAGGUUAUUCAGAUCUUCCAUACGAAGCAAUGAAUGGUUGAAGAUCGAGUCAGGACACUGAUGGUACGGGAACGUGAUCACAUAGUCUUUUGAUGUUGUGUCUUAUUGUAUGUAAUAAGGAAUGAAUUUUUUGGUUUGCUUUUCCGCUGCUUGUUUUAUUA
RNAcentral lists this long non-coding RNA (557 nucleotides) under Helianthus annuus (common sunflower). RNAcentral's name for it is "sRNA HanXRQr2_Chr14g0639021". The record is from RNAcentral. Lineage: Eukaryota; Viridiplantae; Streptophyta; Magnoliopsida; Asterales; Asteraceae.